Haliotis rubra (blacklip abalone) is the source of this 875-nucleotide long non-coding RNA. RefSeq lists it as uncharacterized. The record is from RefSeq and is a predicted model, not a curated record. The transcript has 2 exons. NCBI's taxonomy places the organism in Eukaryota, Metazoa, Mollusca, Gastropoda, Lepetellida, Haliotidae.
AAACCAUCAUGAAAGAGCUGGGACACGAACAUAGAGUGCUGGAUGUUUUGAAAAUCGACGUAGAAGGACACGAGUGGGCGGUCGUGAAAAAUAUAAUGGAAGAUGGAAUUUUCAAGAAAAUUAGACAAUUCUACUUAGAAUGGCAUCUUUUUCCUGACUGGCCAGCCAAAAGUUCAUACGUUAGUUUAUACCAGCUGUAUACAAAGUUAACUCAGCUUGGGCUAACAGCCUUUAGGAAAAGCCCACAUCCACACAACUUUAAUCCACGUAGUUUCAAUAUACAAGGGGACAAUAAUUAUAUAAAUCUCAAUUUCACCAGUGUUGCAUAACAGGACAUUAUGAAGUGCCGUGGCGGGAGGCUGUGCAAAUGUCGAUGAGAUCCCAUUUGGAUUCCUGGCAUCGAGCGUAUUUGUUCAUUUUCAUUUUCCAUCAAUCGGUGACAGGACAACGAUGAAAUUACUCAAUAUUGCGUUGUAUAUUUAUUUCUGCUUAUGUGACUCCUCAGUGAAAGUAUGGAGUUUCCUUGGGUUACGACGCAAACAUGGAUGCUCUACUAGCAUGGCUCAUAUUGCCUCAUGUUACCAUCUCUUGAUGCUUCUGUGGACAUGACAUAUACACAUCCCAUGUUCCCACAAGUCCCAAGGUGACGAGAGAGAGAGAGAGAGAGAGAGAGAGAGUUUCUUAAGCGUAUGCAAGAAGUGUUGUGAUAUGGUUUCUGCUUGUUGAACGUGACUGCCUCCACAAAUACAUGUGACAAUCAUUAACGACUAUUCACGGAGGAAAGGGUACAACGAAACGAAACGAAACCUAGGCAACACAUCGAUGGCAUGUUAAAAUAUGUACUUUUUCUGGACAACAACCUCGUAUUAAUUGUU